RNAcentral lists this ribosomal RNA (606 nucleotides) under uncultured bacterium. RNAcentral describes it as "bacterial SSU rRNA". It matches the Rfam family "Bacterial small subunit ribosomal RNA", at positions 523 to 1137 of the family's 1533-position model. The record is from RNAcentral.
AUACAGAGGGUGCGAGCGUUAUCGGAUUUACUGGGCGUAAAGCGUGCGUAGCGGCUGAUUAAGUCGGAUGUGAAAUCCCUGAGCUUAACUUAGAAUUGCAUUCGAUACUGGUCAGCUAAGUAUGGGAGAGGAUGGUAAAUUCCAGUGUACGGUGAAAUGCGUAAGAUCUGGAGGAAUACCGAUGGCGAAGGCAGCCAUCUGGCCUAAUACUGACGCUGAGGUACGAAAGCAUGGGGAGCAAACAGGAUUAGAUACCCUGGUAUCCAUGCCGUAAACGAUGUCUACUACCGUUGGGGCCUUUGAGGCUUUAGUGGCGCAGCUAACGCGAUAAGUAGACCGCCUGGGGAGUACGGUCGCAAGACUAAAACUCAAAUGAAUUGACGGGGGCCCGCACAAGCGGUGGAGCAUGUGGUUUAAUUCGAUGCAACGCGAAGAACCUUACCUGGCCUUGACAUACUAGAAACUUUCCAGAGAUGGAUUGGUGCCUUCGGGAAUCUAGAUACAGGUGCUGCAUGGCUGUCGUCAGCUCGUGUCGAUGAGAUGUGGGUUAAAGUCCCGCAAGGAGCGCAAGCCUUUUCCUUCACUUGCCAGCAUUUCGGAUGGGAA